RNAcentral lists this ribosomal RNA (253 nucleotides) under uncultured bacterium. RNAcentral's name for it is "partial 16S ribosomal RNA". It matches the Rfam family "Bacterial small subunit ribosomal RNA", at positions 524 to 776 of the family's 1533-position model. The record is from RNAcentral.
UACGUAGGGGGCAAGCGUUGUUCGGAAUUACUGGGCGUAAAGGGCGCGUAGGCGGUCUUGCAAGUCCUGUGUGAAAUCCCUCGGCUCAACUGAGGAACUGCACAGGAAACUGCUUGGCUUGAGUUCGGGAGAGGGAAGCGGAAUUCCGGGUGUAGCGGUGAAAUGCGCAGAUAUCGGGAGGAACACCGGUGGCGAAGGCGGUUCUCUGGGCCUUACCUGACGCUGAGGAGCGAAAGCGUGGGGAGCGAACAGG